This 253-nucleotide ribosomal RNA is filed under the name uncultured bacterium. RNAcentral's name for it is "partial 16S ribosomal RNA". It matches the Rfam family "Bacterial small subunit ribosomal RNA", at positions 524 to 775 of the family's 1533-position model. The record is from RNAcentral.
UACGGGGGGGGGCAAGCGUUGUUCGGAAUUACUGGGCGUAAAGGGCGCGUAGGCGGCAAGGCAAGUCAGGUGUGAAAGCCCCCGGGCUCAACUCGGGAAUGCAUCUGAAACUGCUGUGCUUGAGUCCUGGAGGGGGUAGUGGAAUUCCCAGUGUAGCGGUGAAAUGCGUAGAUAUUGGGAGGAACACCGGUGGCGAAGGCGGCUACCUGGACAGUGACUGACGCUGAGGAGCGAAAGCGUGGGGAGCAACAGG